RNAcentral lists this ribosomal RNA (251 nucleotides) under uncultured bacterium. RNAcentral describes it as "partial 16S ribosomal RNA". It matches the Rfam family "Bacterial small subunit ribosomal RNA", at positions 524 to 776 of the family's 1533-position model. The record is from RNAcentral.
UACAGAGGGUGCUAGCGUUGUUCGGAAUCAUUGGGCGUAAAGGGCGUGUAGGCGGUUUUGUUAAGUCAUGUGUGAAAUCCCUCGGCUCAACCGGGGAACGACGCAUGAAACUGGCAGCUAGAGUACCAAAGAGGGGGUGGAAUUCCGGUGUAGCGGUAAAAUGCGUAGAUAUCGGGAGGAACACCUGUGGCGAAGGCGGCCCCCUGGUUGGAUACUGACGCUGAUACGCGAAAGCGUGGGGAGCAAACAGG